This 80-nucleotide transfer RNA is filed under the name Bacteroidales bacterium. RNAcentral's name for it is "tRNA-Tyr". It matches the Rfam family "tRNA". Rfam says of the family: Transfer RNA (tRNA) molecules are approximately 80 nucleotides in length. Their secondary structure includes four short double-helical elements and three loops (D, anti-codon, and T loops). Further hydrogen bonds mediate the characteristic L-shaped molecular structure. tRNAs have two regions of fundamental functional importance: the anti-codon, which is responsible for specific mRNA codon recognition, and the 3' end, to which the tRNAs corresponding amino acid is attached (by aminoacyl-tRNA synthetases). tRNAs cope with the degeneracy of the genetic code in two manners: having more than one tRNA (with a specific anti-codon) for a particular amino acid; and 'wobble' base-pairing, i.e. permitting non-standard base-pairing at the 3rd anti-codon position. The record is from RNAcentral. Lineage: Bacteria; Pseudomonadati; Bacteroidota; Bacteroidia; Bacteroidales.
GGGAGCAUCGCAUAGCGGCAAUUGCGGCGGACUGUAAAUCCGCUCCUUCGGGUUCCGUGGUUCGAGUCCACGUGCUCCCA